RNAcentral lists this long non-coding RNA (2091 nucleotides) under Homo sapiens (human). Its description in RNAcentral is "long non-coding RNA NONHSAT189330.1". Lineage: Eukaryota; Metazoa; Chordata; Mammalia; Primates; Hominidae. The record is from RNAcentral.
CAGUGCAGGUCUGCAGGAAGGGCCUGCCUCCACUCAUGCAGGUACCUGGGAUCACCUGUCCAUUGGCUACACUGCCCUUUAGGGCCUCCAAAUCCCCAGCUGAAUUAUUCCCAUCCAUCUAGUAGGAAAGGAAAAAAGAAUGUUGAAGGAUCAUGCAAAAUGUUUUAGGGGCCAGUCCUGGACGUAAAAUAUGUUACAUUGGCUAGAAUGCUGUUACACAUUGCCACCUAUUUCAAGAGAUGCUGAGAUUUGGAGUCUUCUUGGGUGCCCAGAGAUUUGAGUAUCACCUAGCACUGUUUCUGCUUCAGAAAAAAUAUCCCUUGACAUUGGCUGUGAUACCUACCAAGCUCACUGUUAAAAACAGGAGGUCUAUCAAUAGUUUCUUACCACAAGGGAAAUGGAAGUAGAACUCUGAAGCUAAAUCAGAGGACUCCAAGCAAAUGAAGUGACUGAAGGCAAGAAUGGCUCAUUGCCCUUGAGCUACACAGAAAUGUAUAGGUGGGUGUAUUGGGUCGGUUCCCUGGAAGCACAACCUCAGAUGGGGAUUCUUGUGCAAAAGAUACACGGAGGAAGAGCUCAAGGAAGUAACUUGCAAUGAAGCAAGGGGAGCAAGCUGGAGCAGGAGAAAAGAUCAGGCAAAGGCAUGCUUUCAGAAGUCUAGCCUCGGCCUCAUCCACAGGGAGCUCCAGAGAGUGAAUGGUACCAUGCAGCUGGUCAACCUUCUUGGAGGAGGGAGCUGCUGAUAGCCUUCAGUAGACAGCACUUGCACUAGCCAAGGGAUGAGUGCACCAGCCCAGUGGAGGGGAUCUGGGUAGAGCACCUAUGCCAUCUGCUAUAAUAGACUCUACGUGUCUUCUAGGAAGGACAUGCUUUUCCUUUUCGUAUCCUCUACCUGAAGCAAUAUAUCACGUACUCAGCAGACGCUCAAUAAGUGUUUGAGAAAUGAAGAAACAAAAAGACAGAGGGAAGGAGAGAAGAAAAGAAACAAGAUUACAGAAAAUUCUAAAAUACUCUUGGGCUCCAAGAAAUGCAUCUUCAAAUAAGGAACUUCACAUACUUAUGCUGAGCAAUGAGAGAGAUAUUUUGAGAAACCUGAAAAAAUAAGAGAACUUUGAGUUUUCAGUGCUCUGGAAAUGGCAAAAAGGAAUCCCGCCAUGGACGACCUGCUCCUUGCUCCAGCCUGGCCAGUGCUUGGAAGUGAUAACACCAAGAGUUGCUGUUUAGGAAGGCAAGGAAGAAACAUCAGUGUCUCGUCUAGCCUCAGAAAAAAACGACUUCCUAUUUUUACUACUGUUAUGAAUCCCUCACUCAUGGACACCUUUGUGACGUGACUUCCAAGUUGCUAUUCUAUUUUCUGGCUGGAACCUGCAAACUCCAAUCUGGAAGUAUAUCUCUUUAGGGAAAGGGAAGGAAGACCAGAACCAGUGUUUAUUAAAUACCUACUAAAUGUCAAAUUUACUAUGCAUAGCUCUACAUAUGCUAUAUAAAUUACCCAUGAAAAAAAUCACUGGCAUCGCAAUGUGUAUCAGCUAGCAUUUGCUGCAUAACAAACCAACCUAAAACGUAGUGGCUUAAAACAACCAUGUAUUAUUGCUGAUGAGUGUCUGGAUCAGCUAAGUGGUUCUGCUGAGCCAUGCCAGGCUUAACUGAUUCCAGCUGGAUUCACUCAUGUUCCUGCAGGUAACUACUGGAUUAGCUAGGGGCUGGCUGGUAUAGGAUGCCCUCAGCUAAGGUGGUUCAUUUCUGUUCCAUAUUCUACAAAAUGAUAUUCCAUGCACGUUCACAUGGCAGUGGCAGAAGAGAGUAAGCAGAAGCCAUGAGGCCUCUGAGGCCUAGGCUCAGAUUGAAUCAUGGCCUUUGAGGCCUAGGCUCAGAUUGAACGCACCAUCCCUUCCACUCCAUUCUAUUGGCCAAAUCGAGUCACAGGGAUGGCCUAGAUUCAAGGGGCAGUGGGAGGGGAAAACAGAUUCCACCUCUUGAUGGAAUAAGCUGCAAAGUCACAUGGUCAAUGGCAUGAACACAGAGAGUAAUAGAAAAUUUGAGACUUUUCUGCAAUAAACCAACCACAAAUAUCUUGGAAUAUUCUAGAUC